Molecule: RNA transcript, 2094 nt
Organism: Quercus lobata
Lineage: Eukaryota; Viridiplantae; Streptophyta; Magnoliopsida; Fagales; Fagaceae
Exons: 6
Source: RefSeq, a predicted model, not a curated record
CACUCCUGUCCAAAACUACUACAAAAGAAACCGGGAACAUUCACAAGCGCACUUGCUAAACACCUUCUGUUUCUUCCUUGUUUUGUUCAAUCCAACUUUACUUUCAUUCUCCAUUAGCUAUGGCUGAUACACUACUCAUUGAUCUCUUCAAGCAAUUGGGUUCAAUCGCUGUUCAGCUUGCUAAGCAAGAGAUCAACUUGCUAGUUGCCGUUGAUGAAGAAGUCCAAAAGCUUCAAGGCAAGCUCGGAAUGAUCAAGGCAAUGCUGGACGAUGCUGAGGAAAGACAUGCAGUGAAGCGGCGAACGGAGAAGCUUUGGUUAGAGCAGCUCCUAAACCAGUACUACGUGAUGGAUGACAUCUUGGACACCUGGAACACUGCAAGGAUCAGAGCAGAGAUUGAGAAAGAAGAAGGAAAACCAGCUGAUACUAACGCUCCUGCUGUUGUCAAGAAGAAGAUCAAAGCUUCUCCAAAAACAUUACCAAAGAGUUAACAGAAAGAACUGGCACAAGAUUUCCGGCAUCUCUAACAUUGAAUUGGGUGGGAUGUAUGUGCAAAGAGACGGUGAACCCCAGUUUGAUUCAAAGACUAAAAUAAACAUGCGGAAGAACAAGCGGAAGUAGACAAUGAUGAUGUGGUUGAGGUGGACAAGAAUCAUGAGGAAGUUGGGGCUGACUCCGCUGAGUGUGUGGUGGAUGAACAAGUGGAAGUAGACAAUGAUAAGGGAGAUCUGUGAAGUAGACAGAUACAUAUUAUGAGAUUGGAUAAUAAGAGCAAGGUGUUGAAGACCACAAAGGAGGAGCUGGUGGAUGAAAGAAAUUGAGGACCUGGUUUUUUGAGUAAUCAUUGUGAGAGAGAAGAAGAAUUUAAAAGUAUCUUUUGUGGAUAUUUGAGGGUGGCUUUGGCUGGAUAAUAAGAGCAAGGCGUUGAAGUGGACAAAAUUUUUGAAGACUACAAAUGAGGAUGAUUUAUAGCAUUGUAUGCUAUUUUUGAUGAGGAGUACUUGUGCUUGAUUCCCAAGUCACCCUUUUACCUUGAAGGAGCUGGUGGAGAACUUGGAAAUAAGCUAGGCCAGGAUGUGAGUCUGUAUAUCUAAAAAAUCAAGGUAUGGAUGCUACAGUGUUUUCUCUUGCUUUGGUGUUAAAUGUGUUGUUUGUCAUGCCUGGCAAUUGGGAGCAGGUCACCUUUGAAAGUUAGUAGAGGAAGAACUUGAAGAGGAGAAUUUGUGUAGUAGCUAAUUCUAACUUUAAGGCUUGGCUUUGCAGUUGCCAUUAUGCAUACCUGUAAGUACUUCUUUCCAAUCUUUUCACAUAAUAGCGAAAUUUGUUUGAAGUACUUUGUACAAGUGCAUGCUUUUGUGGAAUUUCAAUUUUCUAAUAAUUAAUCGCCUAAAAUAAUAUUGCAAACGAAAGAAGUGCUAGUGUUAAUGAUGUUCAAUUAGCCAUGGUAUAUGAAUGCUUUUGUUCAUCAUCCCUCGGUGAUUCUCCUAACAGCUUUGGAGGCUUUUAGCUAUAUGAUGACAUGUGAAAUUAACAAUAUCAAUUGGCAUAUCUGGUGCACUUUUUGACCUAUUGGAAGCCAUGGUUUCUGAGCUUCUUGCUAAUUGGAUAAUCUUUGCAAAGAAGCCCAAAGAAAUUUGGCAGAUAUGCAUAUGGAUAUGGAUUUAUUGAGCUAUUUAAUGGUCAGAAGCUGUAUAGCUGUGUAUUUUGCCUUUCUGAAGCAUCAAUCAGCUGAAUGAUUAUGUCAAGUCUAUUUGCCUAUUCUUCAAGCUUUGCAAGUAUAAAAAAAGUAAUCAUGUAUGGUACACAGUGUGAACAAGGAUCUUGGCAAUUUAUGCCUCCCAUUGUCGGCUUUUGAUGUUGGCAAGCUUGCAGAUUGUGCAGCCACUUCGUUUUUGCUCAUGGCUUGGGUACCUAAACACCAGCAUUGUACAAACACUAAGGACUGAAGUAGUAAAUCCAAUUAGGGGAUUAUACAUUUUAUUUACAUUUUUUUUAAUAACAUUCUCAUAGUAUUUUUCAUAUGCAUCAUUUUAUUCCUAAGAUCCAUUGUAUUUCAACAAUAUUCAAUGCAAGACAAGGAGUGACAUUGAUCUU